ACUAGUUAGCUCACCUGUCCCAAAGGGACAAGUGAGCUUAUGCCAUCACUUGGCGUCCGUCGUCGUCCGUCGUCUGUCGUCGUCGUAAACUAUUUCAAGAAUCUUCUCCUCUGAAACUACUGGGCCAAAUACUUUCAAACUUUAACUGAAUGUUCCUUAGGGUAUCUAAUUUAUAAAUUGUAUCCGAAGUUUUGAUCUAUCAACAAACAUGGUCGCCAUUGCUAAAAAUAGAACAUCGGGGUCAAAUGCAGUUUUUGGCUUAUUACUCAAAAACCAAAGCAUUUAGAGCAAAUCUGACGGGGUAAUAUUGUUUAUCAGGUCAAGAUCUAUCUGCCCUGAAAUUUUCAGAUGAAUCAGACAACCUGUUGUUGGGUUGCUGCCCCUGAAUUGGUAAUUUUAAGGAAAUUUUGCUGUUUUUGGUUAUUAUCUUGAAUAUUAUUAUAGAUAGAGAUAAACUGUAAACAGGAAUAAUGUUCAGCAAAGUAAGAUUUACAAAUAAGUCAACAUGACGGAAAUGGUCAGUUGACCCCUUUAGGAGUUAUUGCCCUUUAUAGUCAAUUUUUAACCAUUUUUCGUAAAUCUUAGUAAUCUUUUACAAAAAUCUUCUCCUCUGAAACUACUGGGCCAAAUACUUCCAAACUUUAACUGAAUGUUCCUUAGGGUAUCUAGUUUGUAAAUUGUAUCCGAAGUUGUGAUCUAUCAACAAACAUGGUCGCCAUUGCUAAAAAUAGAACAUAGGGGUCAAAUGCAGUUUUUGGCUUAUAACUCAAAAACCAAAGCAUUUAGAGCAAAUCUGACAGGGAUAAUAUUGUUUAUCAGGUCAAGAUCUAUCUGCCCUGAAAUUUUCAGAUGAAUCAGACAACCUGUUGUUAGGUUACUGCCCCUGAAUUGGUAAUUUUAAAGAAAUUUUGCUGUUUUUGGUUAUUAUCUUGAAUAUUAUUAUAGAUAGAGAUAAACUGUAAACAGCAAUAAUGUUUAGCAAAGUAAGAUUUACAAAUAAGUCAACAUGACGGAAAUGGUCAGUUGACCCCUUUAGAAGUUAUUGCCCUUUAUAGUCAAUUUUUAACCAUUUUUCGUAAAUCUUAGUAAUCUUUUACAAAAAUCUUCUCCUCUGAAACUACUGGGCCAAAUACUUCCAAACUUUAACUGAAUGUUCCUUAGGGUAUCUAGUUUGUAAAUUUUAUCCAAAGUUAUGAUCUAUCAACAAACAUGGUCGCCAUUGCUAAAAAUAGAACAUAGGGGUCAAAUGCAGUUUUUGGCUUAUAACUCAAAAACCAAAGCAUUUAGAGCAAAUCUGACGUUGGGUAAUAUUGUUUAUCAGGUCAAGAUCUAUCUGCCCUGAAAUUUUCAGAUGAAUCAGACAACCUGUUGUUGGGUUGCUGCCCC
This 1386-nucleotide long non-coding RNA is filed under the name Mytilus galloprovincialis (Mediterranean mussel). The record is from RNAcentral. Lineage: Eukaryota; Metazoa; Mollusca; Bivalvia; Mytilida; Mytilidae.